Molecule: small RNA, 75 nt
Filed under: Flavobacterium branchiophilum
Lineage: Bacteria; Pseudomonadati; Bacteroidota; Flavobacteriia; Flavobacteriales; Flavobacteriaceae
Description: Flavo-1 RNA
Source: RNAcentral
CGUGAGGGAUAGCAGUGGAAAUUCUUUUUUGCCCUUUUUUUGGGCAAAAAAGAUUAUUUCACAAUAUGAUAUUUC